AAAGAUGUAAAGUAACUAUAGUUAGAUGUAAAGUAACUAUAGUAUAGAUUAAAGUAACCAUAGUAGGGUUACUUAUAUUUGUAUAAAUAGAUAGCCAUUAUGGCAUAGAUAGGCAAGACUUUCUUGACGGAAAGCAUAGCCUCCUUUGUAAACAAAUUACUCUCAAUAAAAAUAAAUCAGUUUUCAAGAUAAGCUAUGGAUCAAAAUAUUGCAGAUACUACACAGGUACAUAUAUUUAUGAUUAUGUGUAACUAAAAUCUAUUAAUUCCUGAAUAUCAUAAGCAUGAUUAAAUAAGUUUAUAUUAGUUAUUAUAUACUAGAAUUAUUUAAGCAUGUUUUUUAGUUUGUUAACAUGAGGAAAAAAGGAAAUACUUCCAGACUAUGCCAUCCUAAG
This 394-nucleotide long non-coding RNA is filed under the name Solanum tuberosum (potato). Its description in RNAcentral is "long non-coding RNA (STUB_LNC005666)". Lineage: Eukaryota; Viridiplantae; Streptophyta; Magnoliopsida; Solanales; Solanaceae. The record is from RNAcentral.